Molecule: ribosomal RNA, 523 nt
Filed under: uncultured bacterium
Lineage: Bacteria
Description: bacterial SSU rRNA
Rfam family: Archaeal small subunit ribosomal RNA
Source: RNAcentral
AACCUCCGCAAUGUGAGAAAUCGCGACGGGGGGAUCCCAAGUGCCAUUCUUAACGGGAUGGCUUUUCAUUAGUGUAAAGAGCUUUUGGAAUAAGGGCUGGGCAAGACCGGUGCCAGCCGCCGCGGUAACACCGGCAGGCUCUAGUGGUAGCAGUUUUUAUUGGGCCUAAAGCGUCCGUAGCCGGUUUAAUAAGUCUCUGGUGAAAUCCUGUAGCUUAACUGUGGGAAUUGCUGGAGAUACUAUUAGACUUGAGACCGGGAGAGGUUAGAGGUACUCCCAGGGUAGAGGUGAAAUUCUGUAAUCCUGGGAGGACCGCCUGUUGCGAAGGCGUCUAACUGGAACGGUUCUGACGGUGAGGGACGAAAGUUAGGGGCGCGAACCGGGAUUGGAUACCCGGGUAGUCCUAACCGUAAACGAUGCGGACUUGGUGUUGGGGUGGCUUUGAGCUGCUCCAGUGCCGAAGGGAAGCUGUUAAGUCCGCCGCCUGGGAAGUACGGUCGCAAGACUGAAACUUAAAGGAAUU